GGCCAGCAGCCGCGGUAAUACGGAGGAUGCAAGCGUUAUCCGGAAUGAUUGGGCGUAAAGGGUCUGCAGGUGGUACUGUAAGUCUGCUGUUAAAGAGCAAGGCUCAACCUUGUAAAAGCGGUGGAAACUACAGAACUAGAGUACGUUCGGGGCAGAGGGAAUUCCUGGUGUAGCGGUGAAAUGCGUAGAUAUCAGGAAGAACACCGGUGGCGAAAGCGCUCUGCUAGGCCGUAACUGACACUGAGGGACGAAAGCUAGGGGAGCGAAUGGGAUUAGAUACCCCAGUAGUCCUAGCCGUAAACGAUGGAUACUAGGCGUGGCUUGUAUCGACCCGAGCCGUGCCGGAGCUAACGCGUUAAGUAUCCCGCCUGGGGAGUACGCACGCAAGUGUGAAACUCAAAGGAAUUGACGGGGGCCCGCACA
Molecule: ribosomal RNA, 423 nt
Filed under: uncultured bacterium
Lineage: Bacteria
Description: bacterial SSU rRNA
Rfam family: Bacterial small subunit ribosomal RNA
Source: RNAcentral